ACCACACUCUGUGCCUUUGAGUGUGCUUUCCUGAAUAAAUUUGUGAUUGUGCCUUUUCUAAUGUAUCCUGAAUUUUUUUUCUGCAAAGUAUGUCAAGAGCCUGCAGGGACCAAGUUGAGGUCUCCUCUCUUCUGGACAAACUUCUCAGACUUCUAUUUGGUGACAAGAGGGAACACCGGUUUCCCAAGAAAAGCAGGUAGUGUUUCCAGGCCUCAGAUAUCUGAGUUUGGACAGCAAUUCUCAAGUUCCAGGAGGUCAUUACCAGAUUUGAAGAGGACAGUGUGGGCAUGGGAACUUCUAAAAAGGACACGUGCUAUCACUGUGCAUUGAGGAAAGAGAAACCCAUGGACUGUGGACUGACUACACUUUCCACACCGGAGCACAGCGGUUGAGUGUGAGCCCCCUGGGUGACCAACUCUCCUGCCUACUGUCCUCACCUCUUCAAAACAUGGUGAAGAGACAGGUUUUUGGGAAUAGCUGGAAGCUGCGAGGUAUUUCUGUGUACAUGGAAGAGAGCAUGACUGGUGACACUGGCUCUCGAUGAACAUGGAGAUGCUAUUUAGAGAUUUGGAUGCUGAUCACAGAGAGGUGAGCAGUGAGAGGCUGAGGGCUCAGAACCUGAG
Molecule: long non-coding RNA, 623 nt
Organism: Ictidomys tridecemlineatus (thirteen-lined ground squirrel)
Lineage: Eukaryota; Metazoa; Chordata; Mammalia; Rodentia; Sciuridae
Source: RefSeq, a predicted model, not a curated record